UUGGUCUGACCUGUCUUACAUUCCAACAUGUGGAGAUUAUGAACAUUACAAGCCCAAUUACUUUGAAAAAUAACUCACAAUCUAAAAACAAGAUAAUUGCAUCAUUAAAAAAUAAAUAGUUGACUGCCAUAUCUGGGUAAAGAAAGUGGCCAUUUUGGGUACAUAAGAGGUAGCGUCGGCAGAAUUAUCCCGAACCACCUGGUUUAGGGCAUACCAAGCCGUAUCGGCGAGCGGAUCGGGACAAUUCCGGCCUUCAAAUCGAGAAACUGGUGAAAGAGGGAGAGAGGAAGAAGGAAAGAGAAAAAG
Molecule: long non-coding RNA, 306 nt
Filed under: Phoenix dactylifera (date palm)
Lineage: Eukaryota; Viridiplantae; Streptophyta; Magnoliopsida; Arecales; Arecaceae
Description: long non-coding RNA (PDAC_LNC020347)
Source: RNAcentral